GUGCACCAGGCGCGAAACCUCCGCAAUACACGAAAGUGUGACGGGCCAUCCCGAGUGCCGUCCGCUGAGGACGGCUUUUCCCCAGUGUACAUAGCUGGGGGAAUAAGGAGAGGGCAAGCCUGGUGUCAGCCGCCGCGGUAAUACCAGCUCUCCGAGUGGUGGGGACGCUUAUUGGGCCUAAAGCAUCCGUAGCCGGCUAGGCAAGUCCUCCGUUAAAUCCAACGAUUCAAUCGUUGGGCUGCGGGGGAUACUGUCCAGCUUGGGGGCGGGAGAGGCCGACGGUAUUCCCGGGGUAGGGGUGAAAUCCUAUAAUCCCGGGAGGACCACCAGUGGCGAAGGCUGUCGGCUAGAACGCGCCCGACGGUGAGGGAUGAAAGCUGGGGGAGCGAACCGGAUUAGAUACCCCGUAGU
RNAcentral lists this ribosomal RNA (411 nucleotides) under uncultured microorganism. RNAcentral's name for it is "bacterial SSU rRNA". It matches the Rfam family "Archaeal small subunit ribosomal RNA", at positions 330 to 745 of the family's 1478-position model. The record is from RNAcentral.